GGAGAGUGUGGGCGAGGAGAGGGGGUAGUAGAGUGGGGGCAAGCGUUGGGCGGGAUUGUGGGGAGGAAAGGGAGCGGAGGCGGUGCGGGAAGGUAAGAGGGAAAUGUCGGGGCACAACGCAGAGUGUGCUGCAGAAACUGCCGGGCUUGAGUGUGGGAGAGGUGAGUGGAAUUCCCGGUGGAGCGGUGAAAUGCGUAGAGAUCGGGAGGAACACCUGUGGCGAAAGCGGCUCACUGGACCACAACUGACGCUGAGGCGCGAAAGCUAGGGGAGCAAACAGGAUUAGAUACCCCAGUAGUC
This 300-nucleotide ribosomal RNA is filed under the name uncultured Methanocaldococcus sp. RNAcentral's name for it is "bacterial SSU rRNA". The stretch from base 55 to 300 matches the Rfam family "Bacterial small subunit ribosomal RNA", at positions 550 to 795 of the family's 1533-position model. The record is from RNAcentral. Lineage: Archaea; Methanobacteriati; Methanobacteriota; Methanococci; Methanococcales; Methanocaldococcaceae.